RNAcentral lists this small nuclear RNA (23 nucleotides) under Arabidopsis thaliana (thale cress). Its description in RNAcentral is "snRNA_04846". Lineage: Eukaryota; Viridiplantae; Streptophyta; Magnoliopsida; Brassicales; Brassicaceae. The record is from RNAcentral.
AGAAGCACAACAUUAUGGAGGUC